RNAcentral lists this long non-coding RNA (3942 nucleotides) under Bemisia tabaci. RNAcentral's name for it is "lncRNA ENSASIAIIG000724". Lineage: Eukaryota; Metazoa; Arthropoda; Insecta; Hemiptera; Aleyrodidae. The record is from RNAcentral.
GUUAUGUGAUUGGUUAACUGUAUCACUUGAUCUCCUUAUCAUGCCUUCAUCUGGUCAGAUAAUCGAAAUCUUAUCGGCACCUCCUUAGGUAAUCGAUUUGCUUAUUUUGUAACAACGAAUACAAAUGUGUAACCAUCAUUAGGUUUUGAUUAUACCUACCAUUCCUCUUGGUAACUUCAAAAAUUAAACGCACCACCCAAAAACUGCUGCCUUGUCAAAAGUGAGAGGUGAAAGUGCCACGUAUACUUUUUUGAAUUGGCUCGUCACACAGAAAGCAGCUACGUCUUAUGCAAAUGUUGUUUGUACGAUUAGUCCAGAAAUGUGCAAAUUUUUUUCUACUGUCGGCGGAUGUCUUCUCCAGUUUUUAUUUUGUCGUGGCAUAUGGAUCACACUCAAACGGAAUAAUUGAUGGAUUGUAUAGUAAGCCGACGAAUUCAACAGACAGAAUAACGAAUCGCACAGAUGUGGAAACCGUCACACUUUGCUUGAGAAAUAGGAAACCACGAUGGUGAUCAACUCUACUCCGAGCAAGCGAAUGAAGCUGGCUGAGAGAUACAUUUAAAAUGGUGGUAACUUUAAGUAUUACCAAUGGCAUUACCAUGGGCAUUGUUGGCGAGGUUAUGCUCAAAGCACUUUUCCAAGCGCAAUAAGCGUUUCAGAAAAUGUCCAAUCAUGACAAAGAUUCCCAAGGGUCCGACUGAGCCCUGAGCAACGUAACGACCAAUGUGAUGAACAAACACGCUGACAGCAUCUCUACACUUCCAACUCAAGCUUCUAAUCACCGAGAAAAGGCAAUCUAACCAUAAAUUAGGCUCAGAAAAUAUUUGUACUGAGUUUAACAGAGAGUAGCCAAAUCAUGUUUUUUUAUUUUUAAUAAUUUAUUAUUUAUUUAUUUAUUUAUUAUUGAGUUAAAUGUGUGCUUUUGGACACGAGUUGUGAUCCCCUUCAAAAAAACAAAGCCAACGAAAUAUCCCUAGUAAAAAUGAAUCGGUCUGACGUCAGGCUAUGUUCCAUAAACUACACUGACUCAGACUGAUGUCAGACUGAAUCAGUCAGACUCAGGGUAAGUAGUUUAUGAAAAAUACAUAGCCUGAUGUCAGGCUGACUCACUUUUACCAGGGAUUAGAAUCUUCAUCGAGGACUUUGAUUUCAUUUUUUGCCCUGGGUCUUAGAGGCAAGAAAUAAUUUUUAACCCUUUCUCUCAAUGUUUAAACCUCAAGUUAAUUAGUUCCUAUCUUCUUGACCAACAAUGAGUGUCCGUAAAGUCCAUUUUGACGCGACUAGAUUACUCAAAAUCCGUGCUAGUUCUGAACUAAAAGGGAAAAAAUUCAAUUUAACAAGAAAAAUUUAGUAGUAAAUCUGCUGUCUUUUGGUAUUUAUAAUGGGAAUUUUAAAUCAACGUAAAAUUUUAGAGGGGUUCAAAACUUGCAAUAUCUGUCCAUAUUCACUCAACACAUGCUACACGAUGGUGAAUGUGCAAAAAUACGUAUCUUGUUGACGGUGUUUUAAAAUAUCCACUCCCAAUUCAUUUUAUCAGAGAACAUCGAACCAAAACUGUUGCUAGAAUUUUCACAUAAAAUUCUUCACGCAGAGAAAAAUGAACACAGUAAAAUUUUCAAGAAAUGACAUUGAGUAUUUUUCCACGUGAUAAAUUACUUAUGUCAAAAAGUAUGCAGCGUUGCAGAUCUGGAUACGUAUUUUUUAAUAGUUUCACCAUUGAACAUUUCUUACAGCUUCUCGUGACACGAUCUGCAACGCUGCAGACUUUUUGACACAAGUAAUUUUUUAUGUGGAAAAAUACUCAACGUCAUUCCCUGAAAAUUUUUAACGUUUUAGGAUUUCUUGGCCGCGAAAAAAAUAUAUCUAUUUUUAAUCUUCGCAUGGUAUUGCCAACUUCGACUUUAAGAGGUUUUUCUUGUUGCACUGCUUAAUGCACACAUACCUAUAUUUUCUUGUAUUAAUUCAUGAUUUCACUUUUGCCCUUUUUUUGUGUUUUCUAUUGGCUUUUUGUCCGAUCUUCGUCUCUUAUAUUAUUUAUUUUAUUAUUCAUUAAUGUUGGAUACACCUUAAAAUAUGUAUGGCAAACAAUACAUUUGAAAUAAACAGUCAAGUCUCAUUUGUUCUUAUUAUUUACAGUUACUUUAAUAUUUUAAUACAAGCUCAGAAUGUUUUGUACUGUCGACCUGUGUUCUGUUCUUAUGAUCAAACUUUUGCUCUCAAAACAGAAACACUCUGCCAAAGAUAGAGAAGAUUUAUUCGGGUCUCAAUUUUUCACUGUUCUCCCGAAUCUGAACGACUUUUCACUGAAAGAAUGCAGCUGACCAUUGCGAGUUAACGCCUCGCGCCCGCGCGCCUUCAAUUCUGCAGAUGCAACGAGCACAUCCAUCAAGUACGAAUAGUUGUAUCCCUGCGCCGUCAUCAACGCGCAUCCUUUCCCUUGCUCUCAAGCGGGCCAUGCAUAUGGCGCGCUUUAUUGCGAUUGCCGAGAGACCAGCUCUGCCGUGGUGGUAGCGAAGAGAGCCGUAAGUUCAAAAAUGAAGUUUUGAGAAAAUGGCCUCCAUAUAGCUUCGGAGCGGAUAAUUUUAUUUUAAGAAGCCUCCGUUCUUUUUCAAAUUGCCACCAUCAUUUAAAGACUCUUUAAAAUCGUUUAGAUGGUUAUAAAUCGACCUAUUUUAUUUCAAUUAUAUAAAAAGAAUAUUAUUGAUUUUCAUCUCAGGCCAGCAAGAGAGCCGUAAGUGCAGUCCUCUGCAUGCAUUUGUGGUUGCGCUUUGGACACACAGCAAACACAUUUUCAGGUUAGAAAUUGGCAAGGAAGAGGGGCAUUUCACUUAAAAGCUCUGUUUCCACUAGCUCUCUGAAGGAAUAAUGCUAGUCACGGCUGUCUUGUCUAAAACUGAGCUUCUAGGAUCUUUUUUGGAUUUUAUCAAACUUCAAAUAACAAAGAAACCCCGUUUUGUAGACGCUAAAAUCGGACCAGUUUGAAACGAUAUUUUUGACGGGUUACAAGGACGUAUUCAGGCGGGCGAUGAUGACGGUUCGCUGAUUGACUAAGAAACCAGCUUCAGACUUCGCUUUUCCACGUCACCAGACUAUCGGCUUUUGAUUGAUCGGAUUUUGAAUAGCUUUUUCUCCUCUUAGAAGUACUUUUUCUAACUUUUUAAUGAACUUUUUCGAUUUCUCACGAAAUUUUUCAUGAGUCAGCCGACACUGUAACUCUGUAAAACAUUCGUGUCACUGCUCAAUUAUUGUAGUAUUUAUUUAGGAGGUGGGGGUAUAAGAGGGUGGAGGGGAAGCGGGGUUUGUCUCGAAAUUUGAUCGGAACAGGAGGGCCCUAAAAGAAAGUCUGGGAGAUGAUUUUCCCUUAAGCUUCUUCAGUUGGUUUGAAGUAGAACUUACAAUGUUAUUUAAGGCUAUCCUGAUGGGGCGAUAAUAGACAGCGGGUCAUUUAUUUAAUGAGACAACAUUUCGAUAAGAGCUUGUUAUACAGCCACAGCAACAUUAAACCAAUUCUGCUGGAUAGCUCUUUGAGAAUCGAAAUUUUAAAGAUCAGUAUAUAUAGUGAUGUAAUCUAAAUAUGGAGGUCCCAUUCAAAUCGAAGAAGCUCUGUGUUGUUCUUUUCGUAACUUUCCGGCCUCCGGCGAAGCGCGUUUUGAAUAUAUCCUGAUGUAUCUCUAGUUUAGAAGCGAUAGGUAUUUGAGUCGGAAAAUUGAAAGCCCGUUGGUUCGCGAGAAAAUAAUCUGACGACUUUACCGUUUCCUCAAGCUUUAGGCGUGUGCUUGCUUUGUAAAUUAAGAACUGAAUGUACCCACCCUUAAUUUAAUUUCGAUUACAUUAUAUUUACGAUUGGACGAUUUGGAAACAAGUAAAAAUUGUUAAAACAAUGCCUUAACAAAAGUGAACAUUAAAAUGUACCUAAUUUUGCAUACUUUUUGAUUCGUUCAU